RNAcentral lists this long non-coding RNA (1560 nucleotides) under Homo sapiens (human). RNAcentral's name for it is "non-protein coding HOXA11-AS:16". The stretch from base 436 to 622 matches the Rfam family "HOXA11 antisense RNA 1 conserved region 2". The record is from RNAcentral. Lineage: Eukaryota; Metazoa; Chordata; Mammalia; Primates; Hominidae.
CUUUCUUUGUAGCCACCUCAGGGGAAGCAACAGAUCGUCACUCGGUGUUCUCACCGAAAGCACGUAAUCGCCGGUGUAACUCAUGUUGGCUGGGGGGCCUCCCGGCGCGCGCGGAGAGGCUGGGGUGCGCCCCCAUGCAGCAUGCUUGUGCUCAAUUGCAGGGUCCUCGUUCUCGAGUGUGCAGAGGGCGGUGAGAGCUCAACUCUCGUCCCCACCUCCCACCCGCAGCUCCCCGGGUGGGUGAGGGAUGCCCUGGACUGGGGAUAGCCAGGUGGGAGUCCGUCGCUGUGUGGCCUGUGGUCUCGGAGUCUGUUCUCCUGGAGUCUCGCAUUUGCACCCCCUUCUUCGCAGUCCCCCUCCCAUAGACUUGCUCUGGGAAGCGCCUCUGCCUCCGACCCUAGCCGGAACCCCUUCGGGGCCAGAGUUUGAAGCCGUGGAUGUGCCUGCCUGGUGGCUUGUCCGAUUUGCACGGUGACUUGAUUACACUCUCUCAUUCAUGGUCACUUCCGAAGCGCUUUAGUGCCUUCCGUCCCUAAACCGCCAACAGCCAGAACGGCUUCUCCCCGCGGUUUGUCACUGAUCCGCAGGGCCCGGAAGGGCCUUCGUCUUACCCGGGAUCCACCUCUCCCCUCAUCUUCCCUGCCUACCUCUUCAUCCCACCUUCUGUCCUUGGAGAAACUCCCUCCUCCUCGCUGCCUGCCGGGCUUCGGAGUGACUCGGCAGAGACAGAGGCACAGGGGCUGCCCUGCUGCUCACCGGUCCACCCAUCUGCCUGGUCUUCUGGAGCUGAGGACUCGGGAAACCAUGCAAUUGAGGCAAGCCUUGGGCUGCUUUAGAGGCGCUGACAUCCGAGGAGACUUCUCCUGGGAGGUCCAACAGCCGAGCUUAGCCCACCGGGCUCUGGGAAAGACCCGACUGAGGCUAAAGCCGCCCCGGAAGGCCAAGUCCGAGUUCCAUUUCUUGAAGAGGCCGGCGCGCGUAAGGCUGUGACAUUGGCCCUGGCGACUGGCUUCCCAGGAGCUGUUCUUUCUCAGGAGCUCCACAGCGCGGGCCAUCUCCAGAAAACUGUCUUCAGAGUGUAUUUCCUUUUAUCGUCAACCCAGAGCCCCACCGCGGCUAAUGCAAGAGGCCAAAAAAUGUUUGGAGGAAGAAAAACAAAGGCAGGAAGUGGCGGCGGCCUGACGGUGCGUGUGUGUCUGCAGAGAAGGGAGGGAGCCGGCUCAGUCUCUUCUUGUUUUUCCAAACUUCAAGGUCCAGGCAGCCCUCUGCAGGGCCGGGCCCCAUUGCUCCCCGCGCGGCAUUGGAGGUGGCCGCCCGGAGAGGAGAAGGCCAACGCCUGCGCCAGGCUUGUCAGGCGGAAACGGCUAACAAGGAGAUUUGGUCAGCAAAACAGACCCAGCCUUUCCGAGGCUUCGUCUGACUUGGCCCGAAAGGUUGGGGAGGGGGGGCUUGCGCAGAGCCUCAGGGACCCUCCUCUCUGGGGACUACCAUCCCUGAGCCUUACGCUUCUUUCCACAGCCUUUGCAGGCGGAAUAUCGGAAUAAAGUGGGUCCAGGCGCC